This 424-nucleotide ribosomal RNA is filed under the name uncultured bacterium. RNAcentral describes it as "partial 16S ribosomal RNA". It matches the Rfam family "Bacterial small subunit ribosomal RNA", at positions 359 to 774 of the family's 1533-position model. The record is from RNAcentral.
GAAUUUUGGACAACGGGCGGCAGCCUGACCCAGCCAUGCCGCGCGUGUGAAGAAGGCUUUUUGGUUGUAAACCACUUUAAGCGCGGAGGAGGAGCUCUUGGUUAACACCCAAGAUGCUUGGAUGUUAUCCGCAGAUCAUCCACCGGCUAACUCUGUCCCAGCAGCCGCGGUAAUACAGAGGGUGCAAGCGUUAAUCGGAUUUCCUGGGCGUAAAGCGCGCGUAGGUGGCCAAUUAAGUCAAAUGUGAAAUCCCCGAGCUUAACUUGGGAAUUGCAUUCGAUACUGGUUGGCUAGAGUAUGGGAGAGGAUGGUAGAAUUCCAGGUGUAGCGGUGAAAUGCGUAGAGAUCUGGAGGAAUACCGAUGGCGAAGGCAGCCAUCUGGCCUAAUACUGACACUGAGGUGCGAAAGCAUGGGGAGCAAACA